UACGUAGGGGGCAAGCGUUGUCCGGAAUUAUUGGGCGUAAAGAGCGUGUAGGCGGCCAGAUAAGUCCGCUGUGAAAUCUCGAGGCUCAACUUCGAGCUGUCGGUGGAAACUAUCUGGCUAGAGUCCGGAAGAGGAGAAUGGAAUUCCUGGUGUAGCGGUGAAAUGCGUAGAUAUCGUAAGGAAGACCAGUGGCGAAGGCGGGUCUCUGGACAGUUCCUGACGCUGAGGCACGAAGGCCAGGGGAGCAAACGGG
RNAcentral lists this ribosomal RNA (253 nucleotides) under uncultured bacterium. RNAcentral's name for it is "partial 16S ribosomal RNA". It matches the Rfam family "Bacterial small subunit ribosomal RNA", at positions 524 to 776 of the family's 1533-position model. The record is from RNAcentral.